This 462-nucleotide ribosomal RNA is filed under the name uncultured organism. RNAcentral's name for it is "bacterial SSU rRNA". It matches the Rfam family "Bacterial small subunit ribosomal RNA", at positions 28 to 507 of the family's 1533-position model. The record is from RNAcentral.
GAUGAACGCUGGCGGCGUGCCUAACACAUGCAAGUCGAACGUGAGAGGGUAGCAAUAUCCUUGAAAGUGGCGAACGGGUGAGUAACACGUAGAUAACCUGCCUCGAAGAGGGGGAUAACGACUGGAAACGGUCGCUAACACCGCAUGGUACCGGAUUGACGGGAGUUGAACCGGUGAAAACUCUGGUGCUUCGAGAGGGGUCUGCGGCCGAUUAGCUAGUUGGCGGGGUAAGAGCCCACCAAGGCGACGAUCGGUAGCUGGUCUGAGAGGACGAUCAGCCACACGGGAACUGAGAAACGGUCCCGACUCCUACGGGGGGCAGCAGUGAGGAAUAUUGGGCAAUGGGCGCAAGCCUGACCCAGCAACGCCGCGUGGAGGAAUGAAGGCCUUCGGGUUGUAAACUCCUUUUACGGGGGAAGAGGAAGGACGGUACCCCGAGAAUAAGUCACGGCUAACUACGUG